UACGUAGGGGGCGAGCGUUGUCCGGAUUUAUUGGGCGUAAAGGGUUCGCAGGCGGUUUUUUAAGUCAGGUGUUAAAGACUACAGCUUAACUGUAGAAAGCAUUUGAAACUGGAGAACUUGAGUUAAGGAGAGGAAAGUGGAAUUCCUAGUGUAGCGGUGAAAUGCGUAGAUAUUAGGAGGAACAUCAGUGGCGAAGGCGACUUUCUGGACUUAUACUGACGCUGAGGAACGAAAGCGUGGGGAGCAAACAGG
Molecule: ribosomal RNA, 252 nt
Filed under: uncultured bacterium
Lineage: Bacteria
Description: partial 16S ribosomal RNA
Rfam family: Bacterial small subunit ribosomal RNA
Source: RNAcentral